GAUGAACGCUAGCGGCAGGCUUAACACAUGCAAGUCGAGGGGUAGAGGCUUUCGGGCCUUGAGACCGGCGCACGGGUGCGUAACGCGUAUGCAAUCUGCCUUGUACUGGGGGAUAGCCCAGAGAAAUUUGGAUUAAUACCCCAUAGUAUUUUCGGUUGGCAUCAACUGAUUAUUAAAGUUUUUCGGUACAAGAUGAGCAUGCGUCCCAUUAGCUAGUUGGUAUGGUAACGGCAUACCAAGGCUACGAUGGGUAGGGGUCCUGAGAGGGAGAUCCCCCACACUGGUACUGAGACACGGACCAGACUCCUAUGGGAGGCAGCAGUGAGGAAUAUUGGUCAAUGGUCGCAAGACUGAACCAGCCAUGCCGCGUGCAGGAUGAAGCAUCUAUGGUGUGUAAACUGCUUUUGUACGGGAAGAAACACUCCCUCGUGAGGGAGCUUGACGGUACCGUAAGAAUAAGGAUCGGCUAACUCCGUGCCAGCCGCCGCUGUAA
This 493-nucleotide ribosomal RNA is filed under the name uncultured bacterium. RNAcentral's name for it is "partial 16S ribosomal RNA". It matches the Rfam family "Bacterial small subunit ribosomal RNA", at positions 28 to 523 of the family's 1533-position model. The record is from RNAcentral.